Molecule: long non-coding RNA, 289 nt
Filed under: Elaeis guineensis (African oil palm)
Lineage: Eukaryota; Viridiplantae; Streptophyta; Magnoliopsida; Arecales; Arecaceae
Description: long non-coding RNA (EGUI_LNC030467)
Source: RNAcentral
UGGCAAUUUUGUUUCACCUCCCUCAGCCCGAGCUUGCCUUCGAGCUCGGAUUUAGAGAUUGGCUUGAUCUUCAGAAAGUUUUCAUUGAGGGAGGAAAUUGGAUGCUCAUAGUCAAGUUUUCAUCAUCCUAUAAUCAGGGCAACGGAUUCGUCAAGGCAUGAGGCCUCAAGUCGUUGGACGUGGCAGUGUUAAGACGCACCACGCAGUCGGUUGAUGGCUUGCCUUCUCUCCAUCACAUGGAGAAGGGGCCGUCAUCGAUCUUCGAUCACUAUAGUAGAUCGUCGAUGUG